GUUUGAUCCUGGCUCAGAGCGAACGUUAGCGGCGCGCCUAACACAUGCAAGUCGCACGAGAAAGGGGUCAACCCCCGGUACAGUGGCGCACGGGUGAGUAACACGUGGGUGAUCUGCCCAGAAGAAGGGGAUAACCUCUCGAAAGGGGGGCUAAUACCGCAUAGGACCACCGGGGCUUUGGCUCUGUGGUGAAAGGGGGCCUCUGUUUACAAGCUCCUGCUUCCCCUGGAUGAGCCCGCGUCCCAUCAGCUAGUUGGUAGGGUAAUGGCCUACCAAGGCUACGACGGGUAGCUGGUCUAAGAGGAUGGCCAGCCACACUGGAACUGAGACACGGUCCAGACUCCUACGGGAGGCAGCAGUGGGGAAUCUUGCGCAAUGGGCGAAAGCCUGACGCAGCGACGCCGCGUGGGUGCGAAGGCCUCGGUGUAAG
RNAcentral lists this ribosomal RNA (430 nucleotides) under uncultured bacterium. RNAcentral's name for it is "bacterial SSU rRNA". It matches the Rfam family "Bacterial small subunit ribosomal RNA", at positions 11 to 429 of the family's 1533-position model. The record is from RNAcentral.